CCUACGGGUGGCAGCAGUGAGGAAUAUUGGUCAAUGGGCGCGAGCCUGAACCAGCCAAGUAGCGUGAAGGAUGACUGCCCUACGGGUUGUAAACUUCUUUUAUAAAGGCAUAAAGUGAGGCACGUGUGCCUUUUUGUAUGUACUUUAUGAAUAAGGAUCGGCUAACUCCGUACCAGCAGCCGCGGUAAGACGGAGGAUCCGAGCGUUAUCCGGAGUUAUUGGGUUUAAAGGGAGCGUAGAUGGGUUGUUAAGUCAGUUGUGAAAGUUUGCGGCUCAACCGUAAAAUUUCAAUUGAUACUGGCAGCCUUGAGUACAGUUGAGGUAGGCGGAAUGCGUGGUGUAGCGGUGAAAUGCUUAGAUAUCACGAAGAACUCCGAUUGCGAAGGCAGCUUACUAAACUGCCACUGACAUUGAUGCUCGAAAGUGUGGGUAUCAAACAGGAUUAGAUACCCCAGUAGUC
Molecule: ribosomal RNA, 460 nt
Filed under: uncultured bacterium
Lineage: Bacteria
Description: partial 16S ribosomal RNA
Rfam family: Bacterial small subunit ribosomal RNA
Source: RNAcentral